AUAAUUUUACGAAUCCGGUGUUGCGGGGCCGUGUUCAAUUU
This 41-nucleotide transfer RNA is filed under the name Licmophora paradoxa. RNAcentral's name for it is "partial Selenocysteine transfer RNA". The record is from RNAcentral. Lineage: Eukaryota; Bacillariophyta; Fragilariophyceae; Licmophorales; Licmophoraceae.